RNAcentral lists this ribosomal RNA (733 nucleotides) under uncultured bacterium. Its description in RNAcentral is "bacterial SSU rRNA". It matches the Rfam family "Bacterial small subunit ribosomal RNA", at positions 769 to 1504 of the family's 1533-position model. The record is from RNAcentral.
CAAACGGAUUAGAUACCCCGGUAGUCCACGCCGUAAACGAUGUCUACUAGCCGUUGGAGGACUUGAUCCUUUAGUGGCGCAGCUAACGCGAUAAGUAGACCGCCUGGGGAGUACGGUCGCAAGAUUAAAACUCAAAUGAAUUGACGGGGGCCCGCACAAGCGGUGGAGCAUGUGGUUUAAUUCGAAGCAACGCGAAGAACCUUACCUACUCUUGACAUCCAGUGAACUUUUGAGAGAUCAAUUGGUGCCUUCGGGAACACUGAGACAGGUGCUGCAUGGCUGUCGUCAGCUCGUGUUGUGAAAUGUUGGGUUAAGUCCCGUAACGAGCGCAACCCUUGUCCUUAGUUACCAUCAUUAAGUUGGGGACUCUAAGGAGACUGCCGGUGACAAACCGGAGGAAGGCGGGGACGACGUCAAGUCAUCAUGGCCCUUACGAGUAGGGCUACACACGUGCUACAAUGGCAUGUACAAAGGGUUGCCAAGCCGCGAGGUGGAGCUAAUCCCAUAAAGCAUGUCGUAGUCCGGAUUGGAGUCUGCAACUCGACUCCAUGAAGUCGGAAUCGCUAGUAAUCGUGAAUCAGAAUGUCACGGUGAAUACGUUCCCGGGCCUUGUACACACCGCCCGUCACACCAUGGGAGUGGGUUGCUCCAGAAGUAGAUAGCUUAACCUUCGGGAGGGCGUUUACCACGGAGUGAUUCAUGACUGGGGUGAAGUCGUAACAAGGUAACCGUA